Small nuclear RNA from Dipodomys spectabilis (banner-tailed kangaroo rat), 103 nucleotides. The record is from RefSeq and is a predicted model, not a curated record. Lineage: Eukaryota; Metazoa; Chordata; Mammalia; Rodentia; Heteromyidae.
GGGCUAUUACAGCUUUGGCAGCACAUAUACUAAAAUUGGAAUGAUACAGAGAAGAUUAGCAUGGCCCCUGAACAAGGAUGACACGCACGUUCCAUAAUUUUUU